UGACAGUACUCCUACGGGGAGGCAGCAGUGGGGAAUAUUGCACAAUGGGCGCAAGCCUGAUGCAGCCAUGCCGCGUGUGUGAAGAAGGCCUUCGGGUUGUAAAGCACUUUCAGUCGUGAGGAAGGUAGUGUAGUUAAUAGCUGCAGUAUUUGACGUUAGCGACAGAAGAAGCACCGGCUAACUCCGUGCCAGCAGCCGCGGUAAUACGGAGGGUGCGAGCGUUAAUCGGAAUUACUGGGCGUAAAGCGCAUGCAGGUGGUUUGUUAAGUCAGAUGUGAAAGCCCGGGGCUCAACCUCGGAAUAGCAUUUGAAACUGGCAGACUAGAGUACUGUAGAGGGGGGUAGGAAUUUCAGGUGUAGCGGUGAAAUGCGUAGAGAUCUGAAGGAAUACCGGUGGCGAAGGCGGCCCCCUGGACAGAUACUGACACUCAGAUGCGAAAGCGUGGGGAGCAAACAGGAUUAGAUACCCUGGUAG
RNAcentral lists this ribosomal RNA (475 nucleotides) under uncultured bacterium. RNAcentral describes it as "bacterial SSU rRNA". It matches the Rfam family "Bacterial small subunit ribosomal RNA", at positions 328 to 793 of the family's 1533-position model. The record is from RNAcentral.